GCCAGCCAGCCACUGCCAAAGGCCGGAGAGAGGCAGGGAACCGCUUCUUGCUUAUAGACUCCGGAGGAAUAUGGCCCUGCUGCCACCUUGAUUUUGGAAUUCCAGUCUCCAGAACUGUGAGGCAAUAAACUUUUGUUUUAAGCCACCCAGUUACAGCAGCCCUAGAGUCUGUGUUUCUUGGCUACGGGACAGGAUGUGGAAACUGGAGUCAGGGGACCCAGGUUUCAGUUGUGGCUCUGCUGCUAACAGGCAGCAUGAUUUUGGGACUGGAAGCAUUACCCAGAAGAAUGCCAGAUGGCCACACCUUAAAAGCCAUUCCAAAGAGCAUGAAGAUUUCUAUGUCACAGGAGGAGCAAAAACAAUGCAAUUAAAAGGACUGGUUCAAGGGGAAACAGGAACAAUAUAAAGAAAUGAGAAGGGAUCUGUGUGGAAAACAUUCUACCAUUCAAGGGAAAUCCACAUUGGCACAGGCCAAAUACUUGUGGAUGAGAUCUUGCAUCAUGUUUAGUAUACCUGGAUGGGUUAGCAAUGCCAGGGGUGCAACUCCUUCCACUCCAUCUCCUGAUUCUGUAAAAUUCGAAUUUGUUGCUGGGGA
Molecule: long non-coding RNA, 595 nt
Organism: Choloepus didactylus (southern two-toed sloth)
Lineage: Eukaryota; Metazoa; Chordata; Mammalia; Pilosa; Megalonychidae
Exons: 3
Source: RefSeq, a predicted model, not a curated record